CCUACGGGUGGCAGCAGUGGGGAAUAUUGCACAAUGGGGGAAACCCUGAUGCAGCGACGCCGCGUGAGUGAAGAAGGAUUUCGGUAUGUAAAGCUCUUUCAGUAGGGAAGAAAAUGACGGUACCUGAUUAAUAAGCCCCGGCUAACUACGUGCAAGCAGCCGAGGUAAUACGUAGGGGGCAAGGGUUAACCGGAUUUACUGGGUGUAAAGGGAACGUAGGCGGCAGCACAAGUCUGGAGUGAAAUGCCGGGGCUUAACCCCGGAACUGCUUUGGAGACUGUGUAGCUAGAGUGCAGGAGAGGUAAGUGGAAUUCCUAGUGUAGCGGUGAAAUGCGUAGAUAUUAGGAGGAACACCAGUGGCGAAGGCAGCUUACUGGACUGUAACUGACGUUGAGGCACGAAAGCGUGGGGAGCAAACAGGAUUAGAUACCCUAGUAGUC
This 440-nucleotide ribosomal RNA is filed under the name uncultured bacterium. RNAcentral's name for it is "partial 16S ribosomal RNA". It matches the Rfam family "Bacterial small subunit ribosomal RNA", at positions 338 to 795 of the family's 1533-position model. The record is from RNAcentral.